RNAcentral lists this long non-coding RNA (308 nucleotides) under Setaria viridis. RNAcentral's name for it is "long non-coding RNA (SVIR_LNC009873)". The record is from RNAcentral. Lineage: Eukaryota; Viridiplantae; Streptophyta; Magnoliopsida; Poales; Poaceae.
GGGGACAAUCCUUGGGAUGGAAGUGUGAAGAUUGAAUUGACAUGUACAUCCCCGGCCCAAAGCUGUUGAUGAUAACUGAUGACAUCUGGUUCAUGUUUUUGAGGCUUUCAAUUCGAACAGAUUUAGACCCCUCCGCCAUCCCCCAGAAAAGUUAUUCUGCGAUCCAAAAUUUCUCCCACAAUUCCUAUAACUGUUACCCAUUAGUAUGUGGUGCAUGUUGCAGUCAAUUCCUACGCCUUAUAAAACUGAUUACUGGUCGCAGACCUGACCAAUCUCUUGAGUUUGAGCCCUCACCACAUGAUCCAUGA